AAUUAACACAUUUAUUCUCUAACUAUUCUCUGGGCAAGUUUAUUCCUCAAUUUAUUAUUGACUUAACAGUUUUAGACAUAAAAAUAGUCAACACAAGAUACUUAACAGAGACGUUAAAUAUCACAGUUAAUUAAACAAAAAAAAAAAAACAAAGAAAUCCCAAAUGUUCUGUGUUUGACUAGUAAUGUAUCUUUUCAUUGAACUAAAGAACACAAACUUCAUUGAACUAAAGAAAGUUCACUAAAACCCACCACAUCAUGC
RNAcentral lists this long non-coding RNA (261 nucleotides) under Capsella rubella. Its description in RNAcentral is "long non-coding RNA (CRUB_LNC003491)". Lineage: Eukaryota; Viridiplantae; Streptophyta; Magnoliopsida; Brassicales; Brassicaceae. The record is from RNAcentral.